GCGUCCACGGGGGCCGCGUGGUGGCCUACGGGCGCCCCGGCCGCCCGGUCCGGGUAGCUCUCCCAGGGGCCCUGCCCGUACCAGGCGAGCUGGUCGAA
RNAcentral lists this transfer RNA (98 nucleotides) under Streptomyces scabiei. RNAcentral describes it as "tRNA-Arg". The record is from RNAcentral. Lineage: Bacteria; Bacillati; Actinomycetota; Actinomycetes; Kitasatosporales; Streptomycetaceae.